CUUGACCUCAAAUCGGGUGAGACUACCCGCUGAACUUAAGCAUAUCAUUAAAGCGGAGGAAAAGAAACUAACAAGGAUUCCCCUAGUAACUGCGAGUGAAGCGGGAAAAGCUCAAAUUUAAAUCUGGUGGCCUUUGGCCAUCCGAGUUGUAAUUUAGAGAAGCGUCUUCCGCGCUGGACCGUGCACAAGUCUCCUGGAAUGGAGCGUCAUAGAGGGUGAGAAUCCCGUCUUUGGCACGGACUCCCGGUGCUUCUGUGAUGCGCUCUCGACGAGUCGAGUUGUUUGGGAAUGCAGCUCAAAAUGGGUGGUGAACUCCAUCUAAAGCUAAAUAUUGGCGAGAGACCGAUAGCGAACAAGUACCGUGAGGGAAAGAUGAAAAGCACUUUGGAAAGAGAGUGAAACAGUACGUGAAAUUGUUGAAAGGGAAACGCUUGAAGUCAGUCGCGUCGACCGAGACUCAGCCUUGCCUCGGCUUGGUGUACUUCUCGGCUUGACGGGUCAGCAUCGAUUUCGAUCCUCGGAUAAUGGCAAGGGAAAGGUGGCACCUUUUUAGGUGUGUUAUAGUCCUCUGUCGCAUGCGAGGGUCGGGAUCGAGGAACUCAGCACGCGCCUCCGGGUGUCGGGGCCCUUUGGCCCACGUUACGUGCUUAGGAUGCUGGCNUAAUGGCUUUAAACGACCCGUCUUGAAACACGGACCAAGGAGUCUAACAUACCCGCGAGUGUUCGGGUGGAAAACCCGUGCGCGCAAUGAAAGUAAAAGUUGGGACCUCUGUCGUGGAGGGCACCGACGCCCGGACCAGACCUUCUGUGACGGCUCUGCGGUAGAGCGUGUAUGUUGGGACCCGAAAGAUGGUGAACUAUGCCUGAAUAGGGUGAAGCCAGAGGAAACUCUGGUGGAGGCUCGUAGCGAUUCUGACGUGCAAAUCGAUCGUCAAAUUUGGGUAUAGGGGCGAAAGACUAAUCGAACCAUC
This 971-nucleotide ribosomal RNA is filed under the name Russula sp. BB2004-249. Its description in RNAcentral is "LSU rRNA". It matches the Rfam family "Eukaryotic large subunit ribosomal RNA", at positions 1 to 944 of the family's 3401-position model. Lineage: Eukaryota; Fungi; Basidiomycota; Agaricomycetes; Russulales; Russulaceae. The record is from RNAcentral.